Coffea arabica (coffee) is the source of this 738-nucleotide non-coding RNA. NCBI's taxonomy places the organism in Eukaryota, Viridiplantae, Streptophyta, Magnoliopsida, Gentianales, Rubiaceae. The record is from RefSeq and is a predicted model, not a curated record.
UGAAGCUAUAGUGUGUAAAUUGUAGCUAUUUGUGGAAAAUUUCCGCUUUGUACGGAAAAUUUCAGAUUUAGGGUUUGUAAUUGGGGCUUUUAUAGGGUUGCCAUGGAACACUUGAAUUGGUUUUGUUCAAAGGGUUUUGUGACCUUAAUAAGUUGUAUUGGAUGGCCUAUGACUUGUAAUGGUAAUGGUGGUUGUGUUUGGGAAACAUGGGUGAAUGAUUGUAGGUUGGAAAAUUAAAUCUAUAAGGAGAAAUGCUGUCUAAAUUGUAGGUUCAUAUGUUUUCUUGGGUUUGGGUGCUUUAGGGGUUAAUUGGUGACUCUAGGGUUGUCUAAACCUUUAGCACCAAGUGUACUUUAUAUUAUUUUCAAGUUAUUACGAUUUUGUAAUAGUGAUGUGUGGUUUGGAAUUAUGACUCGUAAUCGAGUCUCAUUGUACUUUCUUGAAUGUUUUAGGGCGUAACGGUGACUCGAGACGCUCGUCAGGUAGAAAUUUGUGAAACUACCUUUGUUUGAUUGGGAUUGGAACACCUUUCGAAAGGCUAUGAUAUUUUGUUGCCGAGUUGAGCUAGGUUAAAUAUUCUUUUAUAUAGCUCUUCAAUGAAUGAAACCCUAAGUGUAUUUUGAUCCAACCUUCUCUUUUGACUUUGUAAAUUUGGAACCACACUUGUAUAAACGUGUUUGUUAACAUUGUAUGUCAUUUUGACUUGUACAUGUCAAAUUUCAAGGUUUAUUUGCUUUG